AUUUGUGGUGUCUGAAGACCAAGACUACACAGCUCAUUUUGCUGAUCCUGAUACCUUAGUCAAUUGGGACUUUGUGGAACAAGUGCGCAUUUGUAGCCAUGAAGUGCCAUCUUGCCCUAUAUGCCUGUAUCCACCUACUGCAGCCAAGAUAACCCGUUGUGGACACAUCUUCUGCUGGGCAUGCAUCCUGCACUAUCUUUCACUGAGUGAGAAAACCUGGAGUAAAUGUCCUAUCUGUUACAGUUCUGUGCAUAAGAAGGAUCUCAAGAGUGUUGUUGCCACAGAGUCACAUCAGUAUGUUGUUGGGGAUACCAUUACUAUGCAGCUGAUGAAGAGGGAGAAAGGGGUGUUGGUGGCCUUGCCCAAAUCCAAAUGGAUGAAUGUAAACCAUCCCAUUCAGCUAGG
Long non-coding RNA from Galeopterus variegatus (Sunda flying lemur), 405 nucleotides. RefSeq lists it as uncharacterized. The record is from RefSeq and is a predicted model, not a curated record. The transcript has 3 exons. NCBI's taxonomy places the organism in Eukaryota, Metazoa, Chordata, Mammalia, Dermoptera, Cynocephalidae.